UCUAAUGGAAGUUCACUUGGAAAUAUCUAUUGAAACUGACCCAGAAAUUCUAUUUGUAAACAUUUCAAAAUGUUGAAAGGCAAGAUAUUAGAAACUACAUUAAUAUAUACAAAUACAAGAUGGGUUAAAUCAAUUAUAGUAUAAUCACAAAAUGGAAAAUUAUGUAGUCAUAGAAAAUAAGGAGGUUGCUUGUUUAUGUAUAAAUAUGAAAACUUUUCUAAGAUUUAGUGCUAAUUAAAGUGAGGUACCAGUGUAUGGAAUAGUAUAUAGAAGAGGAAGAAGUAUACAUAUACCUCUGAAAAAAAAUGUAACAGAAACUAAGAUUAUUUUUUAUCAAGCUCAGGGAAACUGGGUAGAUGAGAAAACAGUGGGAGAAAUAAUUUUCAAUGUUUCCCCUUAUAUAUUUUAAAUUUUCCAUUCUGUGAAAAUAUUACUGGGCAGGAAAGAAUUAACUCAGCAAUCCUGAAUUGUUCAAACCCUGCGGAUUCUGAAGAAAAGCUUGUCUCUAGGACUGGCCCUUUGUGUCUCGCAGUGGGUAACCUCUCAGCUUUUGGAACCAUCUGCCUGAGAAGUGUGAUUCUGUGUAACUAAAGACUUAGACCACACUGCAUUUUAUGGUAAAUAUCUAUGUUUGUAUGCCUAGGGCAUUGUGCCAUGCUCUACCAGUUUGACCAGAGAAAUUUAUCCCAACAAUGUGGGGUAGAGUGGAGGGUUGGGAAACUUGGGGGUGAGAGGAUGGGAGUGGGGAGGAGGAAAGUGAGAAAUGACUGGAGCCUGUGUGAGGUCAAUGCAGGAAAUACAUGCCUGUGUGACUGACUUCUAAUAAAACACCGAACACCCAGUCUUGGGUAACCUUUUGUGGUUGGCAACACUUUGCACAUAUUUUCACAUAUUGUUGGUAAGAGAAUGGAAUGUGCCCCAGGGUGACUUUGCUGGGGAACACCACUGAAAACUUGCACCUGAUUUCUUCUAACCUUUCCCUAUGUGCCUUUUCCCUUUGCUGAUUUGAAACAGUUCCCUUUCAUUGUAUACACCAUAAUCAUAAGUAUAACAAUUUUUCUGAGUCUGUACAUACCUCUAGCAAAUCAUCUGGCCUGAGGAUGGUCUUGGGGAGCCCUAACAAAAUUGUAUAUUCCCAAAAAUCAAAGUAAAACAUUUCAAAGUUAAAUUGCAUUUAUUAGGGUGAAAUGAAUUGGUAAAUAAAAAGAGUUGAUUAAACUCUCUUACUAUAAUCAAAUUCUGUGCUACAUGUGAGAAAUUCUGAGAUACGAAUUUUGUGGGCUAAUGAAAUUCAAGAAGUUUGUGGGCUAAUGAAAAAAAUGAAACAAACUAUCAGGCCUCUGAGCCCAAGCCUGCACGUAUACAUCCAGAUGGCCUGAGGCAACUGAAGAACCACAAAAGAAGUGAAAAUGGCCGAUUCCUGCCUUAGCUGAUGACAUUACCUUGUGAAAUUCCUUCUCCUGGACAGUGAGUCUCAGAAGCCCCCCCACUGAGCACCCUGUGACCCACCCCCCCCGGCCCUGCCUGCCAGAAAACAACCCCCUUUGACUGUAAUUUUCCACUACCUACCCAAAUUCUAUAAUUUGGGAAAUCUGCCAAUCUAUAAUAGGGUAAUCUGCCCCACCCCUAUCUCCCCUCGCUGACUCUCUUUUCGAACUCAGCCCACCUGCACCCAGGUGAUUAAAAUAAAUUUAAAGGAGUUUAACUGAGCAAUGAACAAUUUACAAAUUGGGCAGCUCCCAGAACGCAGCAGAUUCAGAGAAUCCGGAGAUGCCUCGUGGUCAGAACAAAUCUGAAGUGAUGUACAGAAAUCAGAAGUGAAGUCCGGAUCAGCUGGAUUGGUUAUAGGUUGGCAUUUGCCUUAUUUGAACACAGUUGAACAUUCAGCAGCAUAAGAGUGGUUGAAGUAUGGCUGCUGGGAUUGGCCAAGACUCAGCUAUUGUUACAGGUAAAUACUUCUAAAUUAGGUUUUUAAUCUUGUCUACCUAUUAGGUUAGGUUACGGUUUGUCCUUAAGGACACAAAUAUAGAAGUAUGGAGUCCUUCUCAGGCCAUAUUUAGUUCGCUUUAACACUACUAUGCUCGAUUAUUAACCCUACUUGUUUUUCUCCCACUAUCUCUAAAGCACUGCAAGAUAGACAUGUAUAUUUCUGUUUUACAGAUAAGAAAAUUAAAGCUCAGAGCCUGAGUCCAAGAUCAUACAUUUAACUAGUCCAAGAUCAUGCAUUUAACUACUAUAAAAAGAAACAAUAUGACCAUUCAGUACCGCAGGCAUGUGAAUUAUCCAAAU
This 2289-nucleotide long non-coding RNA is filed under the name Pan troglodytes (chimpanzee). RNAcentral describes it as "long non-coding RNA NONPTRT004286". The record is from RNAcentral. Lineage: Eukaryota; Metazoa; Chordata; Mammalia; Primates; Hominidae.